UACGGAGGGUGCAAGCGUUAUCCGGAUUCACUGGGUUUAAAGGGUGCGUAGGUGGUUUUGUAAGUCAGUGGUGAAAGCCCGGAGCUCAACUCCGGAACUGCCAUUGAUACUGCUUAACUUGGAGGGUUGGAGGGGGGACUGGAAUUCUCGGUGUAGCAGUGAAAUGCGUAGAUAUCGAGAGGAACACCAGUGGCGAAGGCGGCUCACUGGCCCGAUACUGACGCUGAGGCACGAAAGCGUGGGGAGCAAACAGG
RNAcentral lists this ribosomal RNA (254 nucleotides) under uncultured bacterium. RNAcentral describes it as "partial 16S ribosomal RNA". It matches the Rfam family "Bacterial small subunit ribosomal RNA", at positions 524 to 776 of the family's 1533-position model. The record is from RNAcentral.